UAGGGAGCGAGCGUUGUCCGGAUUUACUGGGUGUAAAGGGUGCGCAGGCGGCUCUGCAAGUCAGGCGUGAACGCUAGGGGCUCAACCCCUAAACUGCGCUUGAAACUGUGGAGCUUGAGUGAAGUAGAGGCAGGCGGAAUUCCCGGUGUAGCGGUGAAAUGCGUAGAGAUCGGGAGGAACACCAGUGGCGAAGGCGGCCUGCUGGGCUUUAACUGACGCUCAGGCACGAAAGCAUGGGUAGCAAA
This 245-nucleotide ribosomal RNA is filed under the name uncultured bacterium. Its description in RNAcentral is "partial 16S ribosomal RNA". It matches the Rfam family "Bacterial small subunit ribosomal RNA", at positions 528 to 772 of the family's 1533-position model. The record is from RNAcentral.